AUGAACGCUAGCUACAGGCUUAACACAUGCAAGUCGAGGGGCAGCGGGAUUGAAGCUUGCUUCAAUUGCCGGCGACCGGCGCACGGGUGAGUAACGCGUAUCCAACCUUCCGUACACUCAGGGAUAGCCUUUCGAAAGAAAGAUUAAUACCUGAUGGUAUGAUGAGAUUGCAUGAUAGCAUCAUUAAAGAUUUAUCGGUGUACGAUGGGGAUGCGUUCCAUUAGGUAGUAGGCGGGGUAACGGCCCACCUAGCCAACGAUGGAUAGGGGUUCUGAGAGGAAGGUCCCCCACAUUGGAACUGAGACACGGUCCAAACUCCUACGGGAGGCAGCAGUGAGGAAUAUUGGUCAAUGGACGAGAGUCUGAACCAGCCAAGUAGCGUGAAGGAUGAAGGUCCUACGGAUUGUAAACUUCUUUUAUAAGGGAGUAAACCCUCCCACGUGUGGGAGCUUGUAUGUACCUUAUGAAUAAGCAUCGGCUAACUCCGUGCCAGCAGCCGCGGUAAUACGGAGGAUGCGAGCGUUAUCCGGAUUUAUUGGGUUUAAAGGGAGCGCAGACGGGUCGUUAAGUCAGCUGUGAAAGUUUGGGGCUCAACCUUAAAAUUGCAGUUGAUACUGGCGUCCUUGAGUGCGGUUGA
RNAcentral lists this ribosomal RNA (637 nucleotides) under uncultured Bacillota bacterium. Its description in RNAcentral is "bacterial SSU rRNA". It matches the Rfam family "Bacterial small subunit ribosomal RNA", at positions 29 to 655 of the family's 1533-position model. The record is from RNAcentral. Lineage: Bacteria; Bacillati; Bacillota.